UACAUAAGUACUUUUCUUCUUCCCUUUCCGCAACCAACCUCACAAAAACCCUAAAUGUAUCAAUCUUCAUUGGCGCAUCCGGCUUUAGCCAAGCACGUCUGGCACUACCGCUAGUGGGAUCGAAAAAUUGGGGCCAUCCUCUCUCUUCCGGUUGUCUUCGUUCUUGCCCUCAGAUUCAGUCGUGUGUCUUGGUGGUGGACUCGCCAGCUGUCCACAAUCUUAACUCUAGACCUGCUUGUGGCCUUCUGCGGCAAUGUCCUCAUCAACGGCAUUCUUGAUGGGCUCCUUAACAUCGACAGGCUCCUCAAUGGCGACCUUCUAGGCAUGCUCCUCAACGUUAGGCUCCUCAACCCACGACUCCGCUCUCAGGCGAAAGCAAUGUUUGAUGGCGUCCAAGCAGGCGUAGCUGCCCUCCUCCUCCUCCUCUCCGUUUCCGAAGCGGUGUGUGUGGUGGCGAUCUCCCGUUCCCUUCUAGUGUCUGGGCCUUCUCCCCCUUUGAUCAGAUCUACGGCGACGGGGGAAGUCGUCAGCCGGCGUACCUCUGAUCAGCAUGAACGACCAGACCCAAAUCCGACUCGGACUCAACCCAAGCUCGAUCUUGAUCUAGUUGCCCCGAUCGUCCGUUUUAUCAAAUGACAACACUGUGCAGUGAUAGCGUUCUUCUCAAUGCCACUACCUGUCUGAUCGACUCUCAUCUCCCCUCUCCUCUGGUGGCGGCUUCUCAUCUACAGUUUCUCCACCUCCCCUGCGGCAACAUCCCUGCCCUCCACUUCGAGGAUUACGCCACUAGUCUGGCUUAUCAUACAUCCCGCUUACAAUAAUCAACUUUUUGUGGCUUAGUUUUUUUUUUUCUUUUGUUGUUGAUCUGUGAUAAGUCUCGGCUCCCCGAAAAUAGUCGCUGGUUUGAACCAAUCAUGAUAGCCUGGCUGAUUUGGUUUGAUUGUUUAGGUAGAUAAUUGCUGGUUUGAAUCGAUCUAGGAAGUUGGGCUGUUAUGAUUUGACUGUUUAUAUAGGGGGUUGUUUAAGGCUGAUUGAAUAAUUAUAUCUAGAUGUUGUGAUCUGUGAAGGAUUCUUGCCCCAGGUACCGGUUCAAGACCCCUUUUUGUCAUGCUCCUCUGUUUUCACACAGUAGUAGCCCGAUUGCAUUAGGCACCGCUUCCUAGUAUUGACUGGGGUCCACAUAGAGUUGCUGCAAGAGAUCGAGAACAAGAAUACAAGUAGAAUGAUUUGUACAACUGUAUCUAUGUUUAUUGGAUGCGCUCAUAACACAUUAUAUUUUUCCUUUGCAGUAAUUCCGGUGGAUCUGCUCUAUUUUUCUGUCCAUGUAAUUUUUCUCUUGAAUAUUUUACCUUAUACACAUUUUUGUUAUCAAUGGGCAUUCAUUGAUU
Molecule: non-coding RNA, 1388 nt
Organism: Punica granatum (pomegranate)
Lineage: Eukaryota; Viridiplantae; Streptophyta; Magnoliopsida; Myrtales; Lythraceae
Source: RefSeq, a predicted model, not a curated record